AACGCGAAGAACCUUACCAGGGCUUGACAUGCACGGAAAUCCGUCGGAGACGGCGGGUCCGCAAGGGUCGUGCACAGGUGGUGCAUGGUUGUCGUCAGCUCGUGUCGUGAGAUGUUGGGUUAAGUCCCGCAACGAGCGCAACCCUCGUCCCGUGUUGCCAGCACGCUCCGCAAGGGGUGGUGGGGACUCAUGGGAGACCGCCGGGGUCAACUCGGAGGAAGGUGGGGACGACGUCAAAUCAUCAUGCCCCUUAUGUCCUGGGCUGCACACAUGCUACAAUGGCCGGUACAAAGGGCAGCCAAGCCGUGAGGCGGAGCGAAUCCCAAAAAGCCGGUCUCAGUUCGGAUCGGGGUCUGCAACUCGACCCCGUGAAGUCGGAGUCGCUAGUAAUCGCAGAUCAGCAACGCUGCGGUGAAUACGUUCCCGGGCCUUGUACACACCGCUACAGU
This 449-nucleotide ribosomal RNA is filed under the name uncultured bacterium. RNAcentral's name for it is "bacterial SSU rRNA". It matches the Rfam family "Bacterial small subunit ribosomal RNA", at positions 958 to 1401 of the family's 1533-position model. The record is from RNAcentral.